AACAAAUUGAGAUGGAUUUGUUAGGUUAUUAUUGACAGAAUUUGCUGCAACAUAAUAUUCGUUUAUUUAUUAUUCUUACUUUUAUUUUGUUAUUAAUAGAAUACCCGUGAAUCGACAAUUUGUUGCUCGUGAAUCGACAAUUUGUUGCUCAUUCAAUACUACAAAGUUUCAGAAGCUACAACUCCUUCUGAUGUUGAGAUUAUACGAGAUCCCAAACUGACUUAGAGAGUCCACCGGCUCUACUAAAGACAAUUCGUUCACAUUACCCGAUUAGACAAUUUAGGGGAGUCAGGGAAAUUGUUAAAAGAAGCAAAUAUAGAAGAAAGUUGUAAACGCCUCUGGGAACAUUCGUCAGCUUACUAUUUAUAAAGAGAUUGAUCUUUAUAUUGCAAGGUGCAUUUGGCAACACAGUUAAAGAUGGAGCAAGACCAAUGUUUCUGAUUUCUUUUUUGAAUAUCCUCUUCAUUUUCUCUUGCCAAUUCUAUUGGCUCCCUAGGUAGCCAAGAUCAAAUGACGUAAAUUAGAAUGCCCAACUAUUUAUGCCGCGUGAUCACCGCCGGUGUGCAAAAUGGAAAAUAGUGUUGCUAAUCUGAUUGUAAUAAUUUUUUUAAUGUUAUCAAAA
Molecule: long non-coding RNA, 622 nt
Organism: Vicia villosa (hairy vetch)
Lineage: Eukaryota; Viridiplantae; Streptophyta; Magnoliopsida; Fabales; Fabaceae
Exons: 4
Source: RefSeq, a predicted model, not a curated record